UACGUAGGGGGCGAGCGUUGUCCGGAUUUACUGGGCGUAAAGCGCAUGCAGGCGGUCCUGUAAGUUUGGAGUGACAGUUUCCGGCUUAACCGGGAAAGUGCUUUGAAAACUGCAGGACUUGAGGGCUUCAGAGGGACACGGAAUUCCGGGUGGAGUGGUGAAAUGCGUAGAGAUCCGGAGGAACACCGAAGGCGAAGGCAGUGUCCUGGCGCGUAUCUGACGCUGAGGUGCGAAAGCCAGGGGAGCGAACGGG
This 253-nucleotide ribosomal RNA is filed under the name uncultured bacterium. RNAcentral describes it as "partial 16S ribosomal RNA". It matches the Rfam family "Bacterial small subunit ribosomal RNA", at positions 524 to 776 of the family's 1533-position model. The record is from RNAcentral.